UUUUUCCUGGAUAUGCCAACAUGGUAUCUGAGUCCUUGAAAACCACAUGAAUCACUCACAUAGAUUUUUCUACCAUCGUCUUCAGAGUGUUUCCUUUCUAAGGACCAACAAGAGCUUUUUCUGAGAAGAAUCCAACAAUUUCCACUCCUCCCAAGUAAAACUAACAGUCACAUCUUCAAAUGUUACUGCCAUCUGGUCGAAGAUUAGCUUUCCAGGAGGAAGCAAUCUAAAUAAGAAGAUGGACAACGAAAAAAACAUUCAGCAUGUAACAUAAGUGGUAAACCAAAAAGAAAUAACUCUAAUAAUGAAGAAAAACAAGAAAAGUAAGAAGAGACAUAACAUAGGUCAAGUGGUUAAAUAAUGUAUAUAAUCAAUGAAUACCAUCACCAUCAUAAGAAACAUUUAUAUACCAUUUGUCUGCUAACCACUGGGCCAGGGUGGUCUUUAAUGGCUGGCCUUCUGCCCCAAAUGGUAUAUGGAUUUGAGCUUCUCCAAAGUUCACGGGCUCAUCAGUUCCUUUCUUGUCUGUUUUACUCUGCUGUACUCUGGGAUAAAACAUCUUUAGCCCUAAAUGGCUCUGAUCGCUAUUCCUACGUUGCCAUCCAGGUUUUUGUUGAAAUUUCUCAUUUGCUAAUGGCUCUUCAGUUUCAUCAUUGCCUACUGCUGCUUUACCUCCUAAGCAAAAGUGAGAGAAGUUAAAAACAACUUGUGAAGGGUGGUAAAUCAAGAUUUCCCCACACAGCCAUAUGAUGUUAAUAUAGAAGGAUAAAAGGAAGAUAUACUGAAAUAUUCAAGGAUUCAAAAUAUACCACCCAGGUACCAUUUUCCAAAUAAACUAAAUAAAAACCCAUGAAAAGUGAAACAUUAAUCACAAAUAUGAAUUCAAGAAUGAGAAGAUAACAGUGCUACUUAUUUUUUAAAUGUUUAUAAAUGCUAAAAAUUUUAAAGACAGUAAGUUUACUUAACACAUACAAAUUGGGAUUCUCAGAAACUGACAAACUAGUGUCAGUAUGAAAAAGAAAUGAACU
Long non-coding RNA from Capra hircus (goat), 1028 nucleotides. RefSeq lists it as uncharacterized. NCBI's taxonomy places the organism in Eukaryota, Metazoa, Chordata, Mammalia, Artiodactyla, Bovidae. The record is from RefSeq and is a predicted model, not a curated record. The transcript is spliced from 4 exons.